AUAUCAGUAAGCGGAGGAAAAGAAACUAACAAGGAUUCCCUGAGUAACGGCGAGUGAAACGGGAAGAGCUCAAAUUUAAAAAUCUGGCACCCUUGGGUGUCCGAGUUGUAAUUGAGAGAGUCGUCUUUUGACAAGAGUGAUGGCCAAAGUUCUCUGGAAAGGGACAACAAAGAGGGUGACAUUCCCGUCUGGGUCAUUGCUUGCGUCAGUAUAAAGGCGGCUCAAAGAGUCGGAUUGUUUGGGAAUGCAGUCCAAAAUGGGUGGUACAUUUCAUCUAAAGCUAAAUAUAGGCAAGAGACCGAUAGCGCACAAGUA
This 315-nucleotide ribosomal RNA is filed under the name uncultured eukaryote. RNAcentral's name for it is "partial large subunit ribosomal RNA". It matches the Rfam family "Eukaryotic large subunit ribosomal RNA", at positions 40 to 350 of the family's 3401-position model. The record is from RNAcentral.